GACGAACGCUGGCGGCGUGCUUAACACAUGCAAGUCGAACGGAAAGGCCCUGCUUUCGUGGGGUGCUCGAGUGGCGAACGGGUGAGUAACACGUGAGUAACCUGCCCUUGACUUUGGGAUAACUUCAGGAAACUGGGGCUAAUACCGGAUAGGAGCUCCUGCUGCAUGGUGGGGGUUGGAAAGUUUCGGCGGUUGGGGAUGGACUCGCGGCUUAUCAGCUUGUUGGUGGGGUAGUGGCUUACCAAGGCUUUGACGGGUAGCCGGCCUGAGAGGGUGACCGGCCACAUUGGGACUGAGAUACGGCCCAGACUCCUACGGGAGGCAGCAGUGGGGAAUAUUGCACAAUGGGCGGAAGCCUGAUGCAGCAACGCCGCGUGCGGGAUGACGGCCUUCGGGUUGUAAACCGCUUUCGCCUGUGACGAAGCGUGAGUGAUGGUAAUGGGUAAAGAAGCACCGGCUAACUACGUG
RNAcentral lists this ribosomal RNA (468 nucleotides) under uncultured bacterium. RNAcentral's name for it is "partial 16S ribosomal RNA". It matches the Rfam family "Bacterial small subunit ribosomal RNA", at positions 28 to 507 of the family's 1533-position model. The record is from RNAcentral.